AUCCUUUUGUGGUUCAUAAACAUGAUGAUUGGGUUUGCACAUGGCUCUGUGACAUGUGCCUCCCUCCAACCUUGUUACGACGUCGGCACAUCACCCCUCUGACU
This is a small nucleolar RNA of Ochotona princeps (American pika), 104 nucleotides long. The record is from Ensembl. NCBI's taxonomy places the organism in Eukaryota, Metazoa, Chordata, Mammalia, Lagomorpha, Ochotonidae.